AGAUGGAUUUGUGCCUUCGGGAGCCGUGAGACAGGUGCUGCAUGGCUGUCGUCAGCUCGUGUUGUGAAAUGUUGGGUUAAGUCCCGCAACGAGCGCAACCCUUAUCCUUUGUUGCCAGCGGUCCGGCCGGGAACUCAAAGGAGACUGCCAGUGAUAAACUGGAGGAAGGUGGGGAUGACGUCAAGUCAUCAUGGCCCUUACGACCAGGGCUACACACGUGCUACAAUGGCGCAUACAAAGAGAAGCGACCUCGCGAGAGCAAGCGGACCUCAUAAAGUGCGUCGUAGUCCGGAUUGGAGUCUGCAACUCGACUCCAUGAAGUCGGAAUCGCUAGUAAUCGUGGAUCAGAAUGCCACGGUGAAUACGUUCCCGGGCCUUGUACACACCGCCCGUCACACCAUGGGAGUGGGUUGCAAAAGAAGUAGGUAGCUUAACCUUCGGGAGGGCGCUUACCACUUUGUGAUUCAUGACUGGGGUGAAGUCGUAACAAGGUAACCGUAGGGGAACCUGCGGUUGGA
Molecule: ribosomal RNA, 518 nt
Filed under: Salmonella enterica
Lineage: Bacteria; Pseudomonadati; Pseudomonadota; Gammaproteobacteria; Enterobacterales; Enterobacteriaceae
Description: bacterial SSU rRNA
Rfam family: Bacterial small subunit ribosomal RNA
Source: RNAcentral